RNAcentral lists this non-coding RNA (21 nucleotides) under Caenorhabditis elegans. The record is from RNAcentral. Lineage: Eukaryota; Metazoa; Nematoda; Chromadorea; Rhabditida; Rhabditidae.
UAGCGUUUUCGGUGAAGUACU